This 497-nucleotide ribosomal RNA is filed under the name uncultured bacterium. Its description in RNAcentral is "partial 16S ribosomal RNA". It matches the Rfam family "Bacterial small subunit ribosomal RNA", at positions 28 to 507 of the family's 1533-position model. The record is from RNAcentral.
GAUGAACGCUGGCGGCGUGCCUAAUACAUGCAAGUCGAGCGAACAGAUGAGGAUCUUGCUCCUCUGACGUUAGCGGCGGACGGGUGAGUAACACGUGGAUAACCUACCUAUCAGACUGGGAUCACUUCGGGACACCGGAGCUACUACCGGAUAAUCUAUUGAACCGCAUGGUUCGAUAGUGAAAGACGGUUUUGCUGUCACUUAUAGCUGGAUCCGCGCCGCAUUGGCUAGUUGGUUAGGUCACGGGUUACCAAGGCAACGAUGCGUAGCCGACCUGAGAGGGUGAUCGGCCACACUGGAACUGAGACGCGGUCCAGACUCCUACGGGAGGCAGCAGUAGGGAAUCUUCCGCAAUGGGCGGAAGCCUGACGGAGCGACGCCGCGUGAGUGAUGAAGGUCUUCGGAUCGUAAAACUCUGUUAUGGGGGAAAAACAAAUUUGUAAGUAACUAUGCACGUCUUGACGGUACCGAAUCAGAAAGCAACGGCUAACUACGUG